CACGUUUUCCUCUUCUGCAGAUUUCCAAAAUUAGGGCAAAGGGCUCCGGGGUCAGGGAUGACCUCUAGCAGAUGGUCUUAAAAGAUUGCAUCAGAAUAAGCCCCAUAAAGCAUACAACAACUAUAAUUGAGAGAAACAAGAAGAAAAAAAAU
Notechis scutatus (mainland tiger snake) is the source of this 152-nucleotide non-coding RNA. The record is from RefSeq and is a predicted model, not a curated record. Lineage: Eukaryota; Metazoa; Chordata; Lepidosauria; Squamata; Elapidae.